Long non-coding RNA from Apis dorsata (giant honeybee), 1044 nucleotides. RefSeq lists it as uncharacterized. The transcript has 2 exons. The record is from RefSeq and is a predicted model, not a curated record. Lineage: Eukaryota; Metazoa; Arthropoda; Insecta; Hymenoptera; Apidae.
CGGAAUAAUCGGGCAGCGAGAGAUUCAGCUUGACUACAUUUUCCCCAUGGGGAUAAACCACCAAAUAAUAUUCUAAAUAAUUCAAAAUCUAUUUUAUAUGCUUCAUAAGGCGGCUGUGUUGGAUCAUAACGAUCAGGAGUAGCACUAUCAACUGGUCUAGGAAGUAUAAGUCCCUCAUCAUUGUAUACACCUCCAAGAUAAUCUGUUAAUAACUGCAUUGCUUCACCAUCGUCACGGCAAUUUAAUAAUUUAUCUUGGUUCCACUCCAGUACUGUCAAUGCUAUCUGACACAGGAAGAAAGACCUGUUUACUUCAAAUUUCUUCUGUACGUAAUUUAUUCUGUAUUUAUUAGAAAGAAUGUCAAUAAAAUUUAAUAGUUUGACUAAUAAAAAAUAAUUAAGGAGCUAAAAAUAAAAUAUACAUAAAAUGUGUUAUACCUGGAAAAUUACUUUUGCUCCAUCAUAGAAAAAACAAUCCAUUAUAUUUACUGCACUACUUGUUGGCAUAACACUUAAAAAUAUAGUUAAGAACCAUGAAAGUGAUAUAACUUUAAUAAGACCAAGUUCUUGCAACCUAGCAUGUAAAGUUGGUAAAUGUUCAGCAGCUAAUUCUUCUAAAAGACCUUGAUCAACAAGAGCACCGACUACUCUUCUAUCAUAAUAAUCGGGUAAUAAUGAUUCACAUACAUUACAUAAUUGCCAAAAUGCAGAUUCUUCUGAGCAAUAAAUUAAUAGUACUGAAGCUACUAUAUUCAUGGCCUGACAAUAACCUGUUUCAAAACAAUUAAAAUGAUAAUUUUUUGAAAUUUUUAUAACAAUAACUACAGAUAAAAUUUUUACCAAUUUGUGGAUUUUUCCAAGCAUAUGCAGAAAGAACUCUUCUUAAAGCACUGAUACCAGUGUCAGAUUGAAAUGCUGGAUGUUCAGGUAAAGAUCGAUGCAAAUCUCGUUCUAUUUCUUCAUUUGCUUGACAUGAUUUACCUAAAGAUUGAUCAACUAAUGACUUAUAUAGUCCUGGAUUCAUUACCAUUUCAUUUAAAGCACC